This 544-nucleotide ribosomal RNA is filed under the name Chlidonias leucopterus (white-winged tern). RNAcentral describes it as "partial 12S ribosomal RNA". It matches the Rfam family "Bacterial small subunit ribosomal RNA", at positions 657 to 1405 of the family's 1533-position model. Lineage: Eukaryota; Metazoa; Chordata; Aves; Charadriiformes; Laridae. The record is from RNAcentral.
UAGGGUCGAAAUGCAACUAAGCCGUCAUAAGCCCAAGAUGUACUUAAGAUCUUCAUUAAGAUGACCUAGCAUUCUUGACUAAUUUAACUCCACGAAAGCUAGGGCACAAACUGGGAUUAGAUACCCCAUUAUGCCUAGCCCUAAAUCUUGAUGUUUACCAUACUAAAGCAUCCGCCUGAGAACUACGAGCACAAACGCUUAAAACUCUAAGGACUUGGCGGUGCCCCAAACCCACCUAGAGGAGCCUGUUCUGUAAUCGAUAACCCACGAUUCACCCAACCACCCCUCGCCAAGGCAGCCUACAUACCGCCGUCGCCAGCUCACCUUCAUUGAGAGCCAAACAGUGAGCACAAUAGCUCAACUCGCUAGCAAGACAGGUCAAGGUAUAGCCCAUGGGGUGGAAGAAAUGGGCUACAUUUUCUAUAAUAGAAAACCCACGAAAGGAGGCAUGAAACAGCUCCGGAAGGCGGAUUUAGCAGUAAAGCGGACAAUAGAGCCCCCUUUAAGUUGGCCCUGGGCACGUACAUACCGCCCGUCACCCUCC